This 1776-nucleotide long non-coding RNA is filed under the name Lathyrus oleraceus (garden pea). RNAcentral's name for it is "Pisum sativum (pea) long non-coding RNA (PSAT_LNC036804)". The record is from RNAcentral. Lineage: Eukaryota; Viridiplantae; Streptophyta; Magnoliopsida; Fabales; Fabaceae.
UUUAAACUUUAAAAAAGGAUUAUAAAAAUGAAAAUUCAAAAGCACUCAAUUUUAACUUGGCUUCUAAAGCUCUUAAUUUUAAUUUUAUUUUAGAAGUAGUUUUUAAAUCAUUAGAAAGUCGGUCAAACGGAAACGUGUGCUCUGAAGAAACAAUAAUACAUCAAUCUACGUAAAAAUAAAAUAAAUAUUUGUUAUUAAAAAAUGUUUUUUUAUAACACCCUAAGAGCUCAAAGUUAUUUAAUUCAUGUAAGGAGAACAUGGCUUUAUAAAUUAUAAAAUGGUAAAAUUAUAUUCUACUUAAUUCAUCAAAAAGGAAACAAAAAAUAUGGCUGAAAUUGUCAAAUUCAUUUACAUUAUGAGUAUCUUAUUUUUCCUAUUUUUUGUUGUAGUAAACAUUGAUGGUAAACCAAUAUUAUUUAUUUUUUAAAUUUUCCUAUUUUUUUGCUCCUUACACAAUAUUAUAUGAUUGUCCUUUUUUUAAUAACAUUCUUUUAUUUAUUUUUUUCAUUACAGCUGCAGCUGAAUGUUUUACUCAUUAUGAUUGUCCAUUAAAUUAUUGCCCGUCAACUUUUAUAGCAAGGUGUGUUAAGAGCCAGUGUAUAUGUAGUAAAAAGAAAAAGAUAAAUUUCUUAUGAUUGGUAAGUUUUUUUAUAUGUCCUUUUACCAAGUGUAACAAAGAGAUAUACAUAUUUAAGAGAUAUUUAAUAUUGAUUCGUAUUUUAGGAAAUUAUUUUUCACAAUAUUUAUCUUUUCCUUUAUUCUCUUUUUACUAUAUAGCAGGUGUUAGACAUAAUUUCAAGAUUUUGAUUAUGUGUCUCUCUCCUUUUACACCGAGGUGUAUGUAGAACAGGAUGGUUUGUGUUAGAAUAAUGUUUUGUAUUAUAUACAAAAACUCCGUAAAAUAUUUCACAAAAUCGUGUUAGUCAUUUACAAUGUGUCUAUGACGUUUCUAACUUAACUUUGUUUACCUUGUGGUAUUGAGUAAUAAUUAGUGUGUUUAAUAUUUUUUCUUUCAUUUAAAAAUAUAAUUUAGGGAUAGACAUGCUAGUAGUCUCUAUUAAUAUAUCAACAUUAAUUUGUCUCCAAUCAUAUCAACUAUUUAUCUACUAAAAUAACAUGCAUACAAACUACUAAUAAUAUCCUUUAUUUUAAAUUUUUUUAUGUAAUAAUCUAAUUUUCUAAUUAAUUCACCUUAUUUCAACCAAAUGCUACCGAGUAUCAAAUUUCUAUUGAUACUACUUUUUCCUCCAUUUCUCACUCUUUCAUUCAUAAUCUCAUUCUUCUUUCUCUUUUCAUUUUUUUAUUUUAUCUUUUCACCCUAAUUAUUUUAUCUUCUCCUAAUUAUUUUUAAUAAAUUAAAAUGUUUAACUAUAAUAUAUGAUUAUCAUAUUAAAUAUUUACUGGUGUAUGAAUGUAUAUAAUAUUGACAUUUAAUUUUAUUUUUAAUAUAAAUUUAAUUAAUUGUAUUUAUUUUUAAAUUUUAAUAAAAUUUUCAACUUUCACUUUUUCCUCCAUUUCUCACUCUUUCACUCAUAAUCUCAUUCUUCUUUCUCUUUUCAUUUUAUUAUUUUAUCUUUUCUCUCUAAUCAUUUUAUCUUCUCUUAAUUAUUUUUAAUAUAUUAAAAUGUUUAACUAUAAUAUAUGAUUAUCAUAUUAAAUACUUAUUAGUGUAUGAAUGUAUAUGAUGUUGACAUUUAGUUUUGUUUUUAGGAUAAUGUUAACUUGUGUCCUAGAGGCACAAGUUAACAAAUAAAUAAAGAAACAUUGUCUUAAAAA